UGUGACUAUGAAAUUGAUCCUGGCAGCUGG
RNAcentral lists this non-coding RNA (30 nucleotides) under Mus musculus (house mouse). Lineage: Eukaryota; Metazoa; Chordata; Mammalia; Rodentia; Muridae. The record is from RNAcentral.